Molecule: long non-coding RNA, 1329 nt
Organism: Gadus chalcogrammus (walleye pollock)
Lineage: Eukaryota; Metazoa; Chordata; Actinopteri; Gadiformes; Gadidae
Exons: 3
Source: RefSeq, a predicted model, not a curated record
AGGCGGAGCUACAACAAGGUAAUCUGGAAAUGGAGGGAAAGUAGAUAGACAGGAAGAGAGAGGAAAAGGAGAGUUUGUCUGUGUGUGUGUUCGUGUUGGAACAUCAUUGUUUUUGCCAACGCAAACCCAUCAGCUCCAUGUUGAACAUUAGAUUCAUGCAAGUUGAGUUUGUAUGCGAAAGCCCUUAUGCAUAUUGUGUGUUUGUGGAAGACUUUGUUAAAGACUUCGGAACCCUAUGGGCACAGCUCAUCUCCUCUACUGCAUUAAUCGUUUUGAGGUCAGUUGAAUCCGAUUGGGACGCGGGAUGAGGCAGCGUUGUCUUUUCAACAGCCGUAGCAGGCUGGCGAUGCGCAGAUCUCACAAGAGUUCGACCUGGUGGCCAGACUCACUGAGGAAAAAACAAAACAAGAUUACACCCGGUUUCCUGGGACGAGGAGGGAAUCCGCUAAGCCAAUUUCUGGUCUGAGAUGCUAGCAAUAUGGAUCAACCUGCUAUAUGUUAGCUAACUGACUCAACCUGCUUUUUCUUAGCUAACUGGCUCAACCUGCUAUAUGUUAGCUAACUGGCUCAUCCUGCUCUUUGUUAGCUAACUGGCUCAACCUGCUAUAUGUCUCCGCUGCAUGCUGCUAGAAUUGAGGAAGAUUAGAUUCCAGACAAAACAACGACAGUGAGAAAUUGUACGAUUGUAAAGUUAAAAUAAACAUGUGUAUAUUUCCAGUAGAUGAAUAAAUUAAAUUGUAACAUGGCUCAUUAUACUGUAUAUGAAUGUAUGAUGAGCAAUACAAAUAAAACGGUGUAGCCCUACAACUGAAGCAAACCAACCAGGCUCAUGUUAAAUCUGAAGCGAGAAACUAAAUCAGACCCGAGCAAUUGGGGCUCGUUUGUGAGGUUCUGGGGAAAAUCGAUCAACUGUUAAGGGCUCCCGUCCCACGUUCCCGCAACACAAUGACCACGCAGACGCUUCGACGCAGUCGUGAACGUUUACGGUUUCGCGUCAGGUUUUAGUAAGCGGAACAAUCACAGCCACUGCUGAUGUGUCGCCUCGACGGAAGGUUACGAUUUUUGGGAGGCACCCGUCUGGCCCUUGCGGUGGACGCAAGGAGGGUCCACAAGGACGUAAGGGGUCCUUAACCCCCUUGCGUUGCGUGAACGUAGAACCAUAAAGAGCCCUUUACACUGUAGGAAAAAAUCCUAUCAUGUAUAUCUGUGUUACAUUUGUGUUUAAUGGAAUGCAGGAAGUACCCAGGCAUAAGGAUAGGGUGGUUUUUGGUUGCUUCAUUCGGGAUUUCAGCAUCACCAAACAUGUUCCUGUACACAACGGGCUUGUUG